Molecule: unclassified non-coding RNA, 1002 nt
Filed under: Hevea brasiliensis (rubber tree)
Lineage: Eukaryota; Viridiplantae; Streptophyta; Magnoliopsida; Malpighiales; Euphorbiaceae
Source: RNAcentral
UUCACAUCUCCUCUAUUUUUUUAAUGUGGAAGAGAAAUUGAAAUCGUGUUCAUUGAUUUCAUUUGCAGUUUCUAUCAAUGAAGUUGGCAACUGUUAAUCCAAGAAUGGAUAUUAGCAUGGAAGCUCUUCUGUCCAAGGAUGUAAGUUUGGAUCGUUGUUAGAAUUUUUUAUGACCCAGAAUGCCUCAUAUUCUUCAUAGAUAUAAGCUACUAGUAGUAAAAGACCCUCUAGCUGAAUGGGGCAGCGACUAACAACUAGUAGUUUUUUUAAUUAAAAGAAAAAAAGAAAGAAAAUAAUUUUGAUGCAAAUGUUUUUUAAUAUCAUGAUCAUGGAUACUGCAGAUUUUUCAAUCUCGCGGAUCUCUGUCACAAAAUCUUUAUCCAUUGGAGACCUCAGCAGCACUAUCAUUCCCUUAUGGUUACCGGUCCCAGCAAGGGAUAGCCUUGCCUAAUGGCAUGUUUAGUAAUGGAGAAACUCAAUUCUCAACGAACCCUUUAAAUGCUGUUUUGAAGCGAAACCAAUGUAUGCAGUUGCCUGCACUUGAUGGAUUUGGAGAUGCACCACGUCAGGUUUCGACAUUCUGGGAAGAUGAUCUCCAGAGUGUUGUGCAGAUGGGAUUUGGACAGAAUCAGCUGCAGCAGCCGCAGGCCUUUCAUGAUUCAAAUAUGCCUGGAGCUCAGAUGAAAGUUGAGCUAUGAUAAUUAUCGAUCAUUGAGGCCCUGGAGAGAGAGCCUUUGUAUAUAUAUCCAAGUUCUGGUUUGGAUUACUCUUUUAGAUUUGGAGGGGAAAAAAAUUAGACUUUUUCCAUUUAAUAUGUAUAUCUAUAUGUGAUUCAUCUACCUAAUUCUUUGGAGAAGUACUUAUAAAAGAAUUACAUUGUAAAAUAUACAGAUGAUUGGAACCAGUGUUGUGACAUUUCUAGAAGAAAAGACCACAUUUCAAUUUGUAACAGGCCGGGGAUAGAAUUGUUGGAGGGUUGAGGGAAAUUAGAGAAUUGGAUUA